AGCGCAAUGGAUAGCACGUUGAACUUCUAAUCCAGAGGUCGUGGGUUCGAAUCCAAU
This 57-nucleotide transfer RNA is filed under the name Trichonephila clavata. RNAcentral describes it as "tRNA-Arg". The record is from RNAcentral. Lineage: Eukaryota; Metazoa; Arthropoda; Arachnida; Araneae; Nephilidae.